CUAAGCUUUAUUUGAGCUGCGAUUUUAAAAGCAAGCAGGAUAUUGUGUAGCAACAGUUGACAGAUGUGGAAGGAGCGGCUGAUUGGACAGCUGUUUUAGACUCUAACCUCACAAGUAUGAAGAGUGUAUUUGCUGCUCUCAGUUGUGAAUGAGAGAGAGAGGGAAAAUGACACCAUUAAAUCUCUUGAAUUUUCAACACAUUCUAAUGCUGUCUGUAUUCACUGGAACAGCUAAUGGAUAUUAUUUCCACACAUGGAAACAGUGCAUCUACAGCUCUCCUGAUCUCAGUGACAUGGAGUUCAUUGAAGGCUUUUACUUCAAUAAAUAUCCAGUCAUUAAGUUCAACAGCACUGUGGGGAUGUUUGAGGGGUUUUCAGAUCUUGGAAUAAAAACUGCAGAACUGUGGAACAACGAUACAGCAUUCUUACAGAAAACCAGGGCUUCAGUUGAUACAUACUGCAAGCCUAAUGCUAAACCUUAUGAGGCAGCUAUCUAUAGAAAAAAAGAGCGGCCGACAGUGAAGCUCAGUUCAGUGAUGCCAGGUGACAGCACACAUCCAGCUCUGGUGAAGUGCAGCGCGUAUAACUUCUACCCUCAACCAAUCAAAGUCUACUGGCUGAAGGAUGGUGUGCAGGUGAAUUCUGACGUGACCUCCACUGAGGAGCUGCCCAACGGAGACUGGUACUACCAGAUUCACACCAUGCUGGAAUACACUCCCAAAUCUGCAGAGAAGAUCUCCUGCGUGGUGGAGCACGCCAGCUUCACCAGACCCAUGAUCUACGACUGGACCCCACCGGCCCCUGAGUUUGAGUGGGAUAUUCAACUUUUAUUCAUUAUUGAAUCUGCUGCACUGCUGCUGGGAAUCAUCAUAGCCGCUGCUGGAUACAUGUACUUCAAGAUAAAGACAUCAGAACUGUAGAGAGAAGUUCCUAUUACCACGGCAGUAAUGGUCCGCAUACUGACUGAAAGGAGCCUCAUCAUGGAGAAGCACAUCGUCCAACUCUUCAACUGAUGCUUAAAAAUAAAAAAGAGGAUUAAAGCAUUGUAUCUGAGCCAUUUCUCUGGCUAAUAUUUCAGCAUCUUCAGGCAAUAUUGGCAGUAAAUGAUGUGAAUGAUUGAGGGACUCACCCUUGAGUCUCAGAUCAUGUCGUCUUACAGUUUCUGCUCUUGCUCUUUCGACUGUCUCAGUUCCCUCCAUCGACCCUCUCUUCUCACUCUCCUUCUACAUCUUACACUCUUUCUGUCCUCACUCACUUCUUCUCUGUGUUAGAUAAAUAAAUGUAUAAUUUUAUAAAUA
This is an RNA transcript of Cyprinus carpio (common carp), 1297 nucleotides long. It is a transcript of the gene named H-2 class II histocompatibility antigen, E-S beta chain-like, with no coding region annotated. The record is from RefSeq and is a predicted model, not a curated record. Lineage: Eukaryota; Metazoa; Chordata; Actinopteri; Cypriniformes; Cyprinidae. The transcript has 7 exons.